Molecule: ribosomal RNA, 497 nt
Filed under: uncultured bacterium
Lineage: Bacteria
Description: partial 16S ribosomal RNA
Rfam family: Bacterial small subunit ribosomal RNA
Source: RNAcentral
GAUGAACGCUGGCGGCGUGCCUAAUACAUGCAAGUCGAGCGAACAGACGAGGAGCUUGCUCCUCUGACGUUAGCGGCGGACGGGUGAGUAACACGUGGAUAACCUACCUAUAAGACCGGGAUAACUUCGGGAAACCGGAGCUAAUACCGGAUAAUAUAUUGAACCGCAUGGUUCAAUAGUGAAAGACGGUUUUGCUGUCACUUAUAGAUGGAUCCGCGCCGCAUUAGCUAGUUGGUAAGGUAACGGCUUACCAAGGCAACGAUGCGUAGCCGACCUGAGAGGGUGAUCGGCCACACUGGAACUGAGACACGGUCCAGACUCCUACGGGAGGCAGCAGUAGGGAAUCUUCCGCAAUGGGCGAAAGCCUGACGGAGCAACGCCGCGUGAGUGAUGAAGGUCUUCGGAUCGUAAAACUCUGUUAUUAGGGAAGAACAAAUGUGUAAGCAACUAUGCACGUCUUGACGGUACCUAAUCAGAAAGCCACGGCUAACUACGUG